AGGAAAGAGAUUUAAAUGUUAAUUAUAACCUUCCUAGGCGAUCCUCUUUUCCUUCUCUCUGGAGUUGACUCUACCACUACGAUGGAUAGAACACAUGGUUUCGUUGAGGCAAGCCAACUCCAGGCAGCAACCACACAUGGAAAAGAAACAUCAUCGUGUACAAAUUAUAGCCUGGAAGAGAAUUGAAUUCCAAGUGUUCUGAAAACAUUUUGAUUAGCCAGCAUAGAGAAAGAGUGGUUGGAUUUUACUAAUGUCUAUAUACGAUAUAUCUUCUGAGUUGAUGCCACACUCCUUUGGUAAUUCUUAGACAGUGGUUGAGUGGGUAGAAAGGUCUUGCCAUUUCUUUUCUAAGUGUGACUCUCUGUAAGGGCAGUCUGUUCUCUGAGAUCCCAGUUGGACUAGUUCAGAUAAAUGGAUUUCUGCAGCAUUGUCUGGAUUUAUUUUGGUUUCUUAUCUGAUUUGCUUUACAGUUAACAAAUCUUAACUGAAGUCUCAAGAGUUUUUUUUGUGCUACUAUGAUUUAUUUUCUUAACUUUCACAAUAGUUUUUCUUUAAUAAGAAAAGGAAUUAUUAACUCUAUCCAAUAUUUAGUUCCAAGAAAACUAAUUAAUGCAUACAUGUAUUAAAAAUCUGUAAACCAAUGAGCAAAUAUAAUCACUACAUUCAUUUGACAAAUAUAGACAGCAGUUAUAUAUGUUAUUGAAAUCUCUUUUUAUUUACAUUGUUUCAUUACUAAGAGGCUUCAUGAUAUUUAACUCAUUUUAUUAUUUUGCUGUUUAACAUUAUGAUUGAGAAGAACUAACCAAUUUUAAAGGGCUAUUUGUCUAAAAUGACAGUUUCUUUAUUACUGUUUUUAAGCCUAAAUUAUUAUCAUAUGAUACAUAAAUAGUAUUUUAAAUAAUCAUAUCAAAGGGACAGCAUUAGUAGAACAGUUAAAUCAACUUUAAUUAAAUAUUUGUUUUACUGUAACAUAAGCUCUUGUAUUCGAAAGUGUCUAUUGGGGACAUUAUUGUAAUAUGUCACAGAUUUUAAAAUCAUUCUAUCUAUCUGUCUCAAAGUUUCAGUCUGUCAAAGAAUAAAUUUAAAAAAUUACUAUGCUACA
RNAcentral lists this long non-coding RNA (1102 nucleotides) under Meriones unguiculatus (Mongolian gerbil). RNAcentral describes it as "lncRNA (ENSMUGG00000001057.1)". Lineage: Eukaryota; Metazoa; Chordata; Mammalia; Rodentia; Muridae. The record is from RNAcentral.